AUCUCAAAAUAAAUCAUAACCAUUUAAAUGUUCCUCCCUGAUCUUUCUUUCAGACAAUGUUUACCUAAUGGCCCUGAAACCAAGCUCCUUUCCUUCUUCCUUUCAUAUAACAUCCAUAUUUUUAAAUGUACACUGUGCUAGUUCAUAAAAUGAAUAAAAAACAGGUCUCUGCCCUCAAGGAGUUCACAGUCUCAAAAGAAGAGAAAACCACGUAAACAUGUAAUUUCUGAACAGUGUGAAAUGCUAUAGGGUAGAGAUUCAUUCACUGGAAGAGCAUUUAUUGAGCACCUACAGUGACCAGGGCUGGACCAAGUGCAGUGAGUGCUGCAGGAAGCAGGAAGCCAAGCAGGCCUUCAGAGGCUCCAGCCUGUUCUCUUCCUCUACCCACUCAUCCCUCCCUUGUUGUCAGUUACCCAGAGCUCCAUCUCCAGACUCAGGUACCUAGACCUAUUUAAUCCAACUGGCAGCUGGAUUUUGCCCUUGGAUGUCCCACAGGCACUCAGUGUACCUCAAACUGAACUUAGCCAUUUCCCCCACUUCCUCUUUCCCCUAAAACUCAGCUUCUCUUGGACCCACUAUCCACCCACGGAUCCAAGCCAGACACCUGGAUGUCCCUUCUAUCCCCCUCACCUGCUCACCUCACAUCCAUCAGUCUCUGUGUCCUGUUAAUUACUGCUUCAGGAUUUCUCUAAUUGACCACUGUCCUCUCAUCCUCCCUGAAGCUCCCCUGGUCCAGGUCCUCAUUACCUCUCACCUGGACCAUCAUGAUUUCCUCCUCCUCCUGUUUUCCUGUAAUUGAAGAACAAUAUGUUCUGAGACCAGACAGAGCAGAAUUAAAGUCCCAGUGCCAUCAUUUGGGGACCUUUGUCACCCUGGGUAAGUUAUUAAACCUCUCCAGACCCCAGUUUUCCCAUCCAUAAAAUGACACCUCCAGGACUGGCCUUGUUGUAAAGAUUAAAUGAGAUGCAGCAAUUUGACAGGUGACUCACCAACAGUGGUGAGUGAAAGAAACCAGACACAGAAGAAUGCAUUCAUAUGAUUCUGUUUAAAGGUAGAAACUAAGCAAACCUGAUAAAUAGUGGAUAGGGUUGCAAAUAAAGGUGGCACAACUAAGGAAAAACAAGGGAAUGAUUAUAUCAAAAGUCGGGCGGGGGCUUCCCUGGUGGCGCAGUGGUUGAGAGUCUGCCUGCCGAUGCAGGGGACAUGGGUUCGUGCCCCGGUCCGGGAGGAUCCCACAUGCCGCGGAGCGGCUGGGCCCGUGAGCCAUGGCCACUGAGCCUGUGCGUCCGGAGCCUGUGCUCUGCAACGGGAGAGGCCACAACAGCUGGCAAGGGAGGAGGACCUGGGCCUACUCUGGGAAGAGCACCCAGUUGCCCACACCUCCUGCCUGACCAAGGCCCACUGACAAUGGACAAGGGGGAGGAAGACGACGACGAGGAAGCCUGGCUGCAGCUUCGGCCGGUGGAGCCCCUGCCCUCCCAGUGCUGCGGCAGUGGCUGCUCACCCUGCGUGUUUGACCUCUACCAGCGAGACCUAGCAAGUUGGGAGGCAGCCCGAGCCAGCAAGGACAGGAGCCUGCUGAGUGGAGAAGAGACACAGAGCUGUCCCUCCAAGCUGAGCCCAGAGACCUUCCUAGCCUUCUGCAUCAGUGCCACGGACAGACUCACUAAGGACACCUACCUUGUCCGGUUUGCAUUACCUGGGAACAGCCGGCUCGGCUUGUGGCCUGGCCAGCACCUCAUCCUACGAGGGAUAGUAGAUGGCUUAGAAAUUCAGAGAGCCUAUACGCCCAUCAGCCCUGCCAACGCAAAAGGAUACUUUGAAGUUUUAAUCAAGUGCUACCAGACAGGGCUGAUGUCCCAGUAUGUGGAGUCCUGGAAAGCAGGAGACACGGCUUUCUGGCGAGGACCUUUCGGAGGCUUCUUCUAUAAACCAAACCAGUAUGGUGAGCUCCUCAUGCUGGCUGCUGGCACUGGCCUGGCCCCCAUGGUGCCCAUCCUGCAGAGCAUCACAGACAACGCAGAGGAUGAGACCUUCAUCACCCUGGUGGGCUGCUUCAAGACCUUUGAGGGCAUCUACCUGAAAACCUUCCUCCGGGAGCAGGCUCAUUUCUGGAAUGUCCGCACCUUCUUUGUACUCAGCCAGAUGAGGAAACUGACGCUCAGAGGUGAAGGCACCAGCUGGUGUCAUGCUGCCAGACAGGGUGAAGCCAGGAUACGAACCCGAGACUGUCUGCUUCCAGAGCGCCAGCUCUCACCCACCAUGGUUUGCUGCCUGCCAUCCACCCUCUGGCCUCCUCUGUUGUAUGGACGGGGGGCCUGGUUGUAGAAUCAGUGGGCCAGGCACAGACGUCCUCUGGCUGUGAUAGCUCCUUGAGGCAGGGACCACGUGUCUGGAUCACCCCGCUUUCAAUGCUUUGCACAGCACCAGGCAUGGAGUAGGCGCUCACCCGGGCAAUGGCUGGUGGAGUAAACCGGGUCCAGUUCACUGCAUUUGUUAGGGUCUUUUCCACAUCACUUUGUUCCCACCUGGGAACAAAGCUGCUUUCAAAUCCUCCAAGUUACAGCCACUCUAGCUGGAAGCGGCUUUGCCUCCUGAGCCCUCUUCCCUCUGGUUCCCCGUCUCCUCCAUCCAUUCAAGCCACCCCUCUGGGCCCUCCCCACAGGGCCGCAGCAUGGAGGGCUGUCUUGCCCCUUACCUCAAGCCAGGCCCUCAGCUAUCUUUCUUCCCUCUCGUUCCCCAUCCCCGCCAUUCAUUCAAGCCGCCCCUCUGGGCCCUCCCCACAGGGCCGCAGCGUGGAGGGCUGUCUUGCGCCUCACCUCAAGCCAGGCCCUCAGCUAUCUUUGUUCGCUGGCCUUCGCCUAGUCUGUAGCUUUAUCUCUCUUUCCUGCACGCCCUGGGUUGAGGUUCCCUGCCGGUGCCUCCCCUCCAUUCUCUUGGUCAGGGUCAGCCUCAUUACCCUGUACUUUGGAGCACCCUUGUCAUCAAUUUCCUCUUGAGACAGCUUUAGAGUGUCCCUAAAGACUUACAUGAUCCUCGACAUUGUGGCUGGGUGGGGGAGGGUGUCAGGAAACCAGAGGUCCUGAGGUCCCCGGGGCCAGAGUCCACAGGCCUGUGCACGGGGCAGAAUGCUCUGUGGCGUGAACACCGAGAGGGUCGUGCUUGGUGAACAUUAGCAGCGACAGCAGCGCCCAAGGUCAGGGAUGAAGCAGAGGGCUAAGGUCCAGCCGAGGGGAGAGGGGCGAGGGAAGGGCCACUCCUGCCGGGAGCACUCUCAGCCCUGCCUAAGAGCUGGUCGGGGAAGGUGGCAGGAAGGCAGGCACCUGGCAGAAUUGCCCUGGCGGUUGGCCAGCCUUCCUUUCCCCCACCACGUGCCAGGUGCCAGGGAUUUAAAAACGAAAAUGGGACUUCCCUGGCAGUCCAGUGGUUAAGAUUCUGUGCUUCCACUGCAGGGGACGGGGGUUCAAUACCUGGUCAGGGAACUAAGAUCCCACAUGCCUCACAGGGUGGCCAAAAAAAUUUUUUUUAAUAAAUAAAUAAAAAUAAAAAUGAAGAUGACCUCUUACUGCCCUCCAGGUGCUCAUCUAUAUGUGUGGAGACAGCCACGGAGAUGGCUGACAAGGGUUCCCCUUCAUCGAGCACCUUCUCUAUGCCUAGCACUGUUCUAAGCACUUCAUGUGUACUAACUCAUUUAAUCCCCACCACCAUCUUAGGAGGCUUAUACUGCCAUCAUGUCCUUUUAAUAGAUGUGGAAACUGAGACACAGAGAGGUUAAGAAGCUUGCCCAAGGUAACACAGCAAGUUGGUGGCGAGACCAUGCUCUUAUUGCUUGUCAGUGUAAGACAGCACAGGGAUAGGUGCUGUGGAGGGUGUUCAGGGUGCUGGAGGCAAGCAGAGAGGGCUUCACAGAGGAGAUGGCAUUGGAGCCCGGGCUUGAGGGCAGAGUUAAAGUUCACCAGCAAUAGGGGACCUUCUACCCUGGGCCGGGGCUUUGAUGAGGCCAGUGCCCUGGGGUUGGGCAGGCGAGUGGGCUGGCUGUCAAUAGCUGGGGAAGGUGAGGGAUGGUGGAGUGAGAGGUGCCUCCUGCCUGUCCAUGCUUCCUCCACUCCGGGUGCUGCCUGGGCCAUAGCGACAGCAUCAUCAAGGAUCUCCCUGCUCCAGCCACUCCUUGACGAUUUGUCCUUCAUCCUGCAGCCGGAAGGGCAGCUCUGACCACAUCACUGCCCUGCUUCCUGUCCUUCCCUAGCUCCCCACCGCUCUCAAGGCUAUGUGCCAGCCCUCCAUGGCCUCGCCUUCCGGCCCACUCCGGCUGCAUGCUGCGUUCUGGUGUCACCGGUCUGCCUGUGGUCGCAAGUGCUCUGUGCUUUUCUGGCUCCUGGGUCUUUGCUCGUAUGGUUCCCCCUGCCAGGCACACUUUUUCCCACUUCUUCACCUAACGCCCACUCAUCCCUCGCAUCUCUCUGCUAAGGUGUAAUUCCAUCCUGGGAACUUUCCCUGAGCCUCCAGGCUGGUGUAGAUGUUUCUGCUGUCACGGCCCAGGCUCUGCUUCCUAGCACCCACCCCACUGCAUCACCAUUGUUUAUGGGUCCCCUCCCCACUUGAGCAGCAACCAGACCCCAUGCAUCUCUGGGUGCACAGUCAAGGUCAGCUGCACUGAACCUAACUGGCCUAGGGGGAUCGGGCAUUGGGAAGGAGGGGCAAGGCCAACGGGCCCUACUCGUUCCUGCCCUCGAGGGCCCAUUGGGCAGGUCAGAGCACGAAGGGCAUGCAAGAAGAUGCAGAUCAUCAGAGAGUGUACCCUGUCAGCAGCACAGCACUGUACUCAGAGGCCCUCGGGGUCUGGUGAGCUCUGUGAGUGCGCCUGAGAUUCGAGGCCCGCAUUCAUGGAGGCUCUCUCAGCGCUUCCCUGUCCGCUGCGCUCAUCUCAGUAGCUCAGAGAGGUCAUGGCUCCUCACCAGAAAAUGGUGGCAAAGCUUGGAUUCCAACCCCAACCCCUCUCUCUCCAUCCUGUCUCGCUGCUUGGCCCCGGGAACCAGAAGUUCAUCUCGAUAGGGUCUGCAGAGGUGAUGGUCCUGUUCUGUUGUGGGUUCUGUUUUGUUUUGGACGCUGGUUACAUGGUUUAUUCUCUUCGUUAAAAUUCUCCAAACUAUAUAAACUUCACGAUUUUUAUACAUAUGUUAUACUCCAAUAAAAUGUUUACUUAAAAGAUA
Orcinus orca (killer whale) is the source of this 5210-nucleotide RNA transcript. It is a transcript of the gene named NADH-cytochrome b5 reductase-like, with no coding region annotated. The record is from RefSeq and is a predicted model, not a curated record. NCBI's taxonomy places the organism in Eukaryota, Metazoa, Chordata, Mammalia, Artiodactyla, Delphinidae. The transcript has 8 exons.